Molecule: long non-coding RNA, 2037 nt
Filed under: Homo sapiens (human)
Lineage: Eukaryota; Metazoa; Chordata; Mammalia; Primates; Hominidae
Description: HSALNT0107454
Source: RNAcentral
ACAGAGCUCACCAAGAGUAAUAACAAGCUCACGAUGGGCCUAUCAGUUGGACAGACGGUGAUAAUUCUGGUUAAGUGUCCUCUUCUGGACUGCCUGGAAGCACAACAGGAAGACCUAUCACUGGGGAGAAUGAAAUACCUUCUACCUUCAUUUAUGAUGUAGAGAACUGUUGCUAGCACUACUAAUAACUCAGUGGUUGUAAUGAGAAUGUCUACAAUUGAAGAGAGAAACUAGCAGCUCUGCACAUAGUCCAGCCAUAACAGUAGCAAGAAUGCAGAAGUCUCCUUAGACAAAGUCAUUUCUGCCUCUCAAUGGCAUCGGAAAAGAAGACUGAUUAGAGGGAAGAGGAGGAAUCUACUAGCUGCCUUAAACAAGUGGCCACAAAGUAAAAUAAUAGAGGUCUUUUAUUCUGGUUUAUCCAAACCUGAGUCCAAAAGAAUGAGAACUUACAGGAUUUUUCAAUAUAUUUGAAGGCAAUAAUAGAUUUACUGGCAUUAUAUCACAGUUUCUAUUGAUUGGGCUUUCUAAUUCAUUUCUCUUUUUUUUUUUCUUAAUUUAGUGGAAAUUUUGCCAUGAUUCUGUGAGUGAAUGGAUAAUCAGUCCCACUUUAUAUAGAGGUCUGUUUUCAAAUUUUGUGUGUGUGUGUGUGUGUGUGUGUGUGUGUGUGUGUGUAAGUAUAACUUCCUAAGUAUUUCAGAGGAACAUAAGCUGCCUGCCAAACAAAUAUCAAACAGCAAUUCUCAUCCUAAACCUGCUUUUCAGGAAUCAACAUUUUUAACUAAAAAACUGAGACUCUCAAUAUGCAAUUUUGCAUAUGAGAGAAUGGGUGGAAAUUUGUAAAUAUGGGAUAGAGUGGCCUCAAAAGACCUGAAAACAUACCACAUGGGUGGGUACACACACAUAAAUCUCUCCCAGAAACAUACACAUAAAAUUAUGUGGUUAUAUGUAUAUGAAGAUGGGCAUGUUUAUAUAAACUACUUUAUUUUUAAAAUGUUUUCCUACAUCCAGAACAAAUCAACAAAACAAUAUUAAAAUUAUAUCAUCAAGAAAUUGAAACCAAACUAUUAGCAGACACUAGGUAAUGAGAAAAGUGGAAUAAUUUUUAAAAGUAGAGAUAAAGUUUGAUAAAUACCACACAGGUCUGUUAAAAAAUGAUAAUCAAAAAGCAAUUUCUGUCUUCACUUUGAUCAACAUAUUUACCUAUUCUGCAGUUUACAAACUGAACUUAUAAUUUUGACUGGAAUGUGAAACUGAUCAAUUUCUUUGGCAGCAUCCACAAACAAGUUGAGUUAUUCCUCAAGAAAUCACAGGAAAGAAGAUUUUGGGAAAGAGCAAAGGGGAGUAACCGGUAACUUAUAUGCCAGAGGAAGUAUACAAUGGGUUCUUUUAGUGCUGGAUAUUGAAGAGAGAAUGCUCUUGAAGUUCCCAUAAAACAUUAUGUAAAUUAAGCUAAAAUGGCAAUGACUUAUAAAAACAAAGAAAAAUGCCUCUUCUCUCUAAUUGCCUUUUGGAAUCAUUAAACAUUCUGCAAUUUGUUUUUAAGAAUUACCUUUUUCCACUAGAUUUUUGAAGAAUUAAUGAGAAAAAACUGUGAAAUUCUUUUGGCGACUAUUAAAAAUAAUAGGGACUGUGUUUUGGUGUACUCCUGACUUCCUCUGAGUUCCCUAGGUAUUGAAAUGGAGAGCUGGAUAAAGUGGACCGAAAUAAGUAUAAGCUUUGUUUUCAGGCACUCCAGAGAAGUUUUAAAAAAAAUAUUUAUACUUAAUUCAUGUAACAUGAGAAUGUAACAUUCACUCCCCGUCUAUCUCCAUCUCACCUGUCUGUGGCCUUAAGUGAAAGAAAAACACUUUCCCUUCCUUUUGUUCAAAGCAGAAAUUGACAUCACCAUACCUUGUUUAUGCCAGUUAAAUGAUGCAUUUGUAAAAAUAAUUAGAAGAUUUUUCUGAGGAAUAUGUAGGAGAAAAAGCAAGAUAAUCAGAAAUACUGUUGUUGCUUUUAGUACACUUUCUUUAAUAAAACGUUGUUUACUAUUCAUAU